Molecule: ribosomal RNA, 424 nt
Filed under: uncultured bacterium
Lineage: Bacteria
Description: bacterial SSU rRNA
Rfam family: Bacterial small subunit ribosomal RNA
Source: RNAcentral
GUGAGGAAUAUUGGUCAAUGGGCGAGAGCCUGAACCAGCCAAGUCGCGUGAGGGAGUACUGCCCUAUGGGUUGUAAACCUCUUUUGUCGGGGAGCAAAAGCCGGACGUGUCCGGCUGUGAGAGUACCCGAAGAAAAAGCAUCGGCUAACUCCGUGCCAGCAGCCGCGGUAAUACGGAGGAUGCGAGCGUUAUCCGGAUUUAUUGGGUUUAAAGGGUGCGCAGGCGGAUUUUUAAGUCAGCGGUCAAAUCGUGGGGCUCAACCCCAUCCAGCCGUUGAAACUGGGGAUCUAGAGUGUGCGAGAGGUAUGCGGAAUGCGUGGUGUAGCGGUGAAAUGCAUAGAUAUCACGCAGAACCCCGAUUGCGAAGGCAGCAUACCGGUGCACAACUGACGCUCAGGCACGAAAGCGUGGGUAUCGAACAGGA